UCUCAAAAUGGAAUCCCAUAAAACUAAUUACUCUUUCUCCUCUCGUGGUGACCCUUAACCACCACCACCACCACCAACAACAACAACAACAACAACACACAAUUAACAUAAUUGCCUCAAUCACCACCACAACUAACAUCGUAUCACAAGACGUUACUAUUGUACCCCGAGUUCUCGUUAUUGGUGCGUCGUCCCACGGUCUUAGCCUCUGCAUCGCCGUCCACAAUCUCCGGUAAUAUGUAACGCACUUCAAUUCUCUAGCGCCGAUGCCAUCCCAGAUUGAUGUUGUUAGUUGUAAAUUGUUAUUGUCAUCUUUGUUGCGUUGUUGGUUGCAAAGAGUCUACAUACGGAGUACUGCACUAUAUUUUGUUUUGGCAGGAAUUACAAACAUGCAUAAAACAAAAGAAAAACUACUACCCAAGACACAUAGCAUGUGUCUAUUCGUAGGUAGCAUAAGACACACUAUUACCAUAAUUAGAACUACCACUAGACUCCACACCGGAAGAACAAGACAUGGUACAAGACUUCACACUACUGCAAGACAUAGUCCUCUUUCCUGGUCGAUUGGAAGCCUUCAACGUAGGCGCAUAAACCUUCCUCUACAUUCCGGUUUGGUACCUUCAAUCAAAAACAUGAUGAGAAUGAGUUGAAUUUGUCGAGAGGAUUUAGGAGUAAGCAAUUCGGGUUCCAAAUCAACAAGAAUUUCUGGGUUUUCUUCUGGGUUUUCUUCCGGUAUUCAUCAUUGUUCUUAGAGUUAAUGUGAUGGAGACGAUUCUUUCAUUGAAGCAGCUCGAGUGUUAGGACGAGCCACCACAGGUUGAGUCACCUUCUUCUUCCCUGAGUUGUUCGAGCGAGUUUGUUUUCGAGGUCUACCCAUGGUGUCGAAGGAGUUUCCUCUUCGAACCUCUCAACAAACUUUUUUUGCUGCUGGUAUGUUAUCUUACUUACUCUGUAUUAAAAUCAAUUGACUGUUUGAUAGAAAUGGAGGGAUAUGAGAAGUGGGAGACCCCAGACACUGAGAGGAUAGUUUAAAUGAGACUUUCAAGAAGUAUGGUUAAAUCCUUCCAUUCUUUUAUAGCCAAUUCUCCCCGGUAACGAAAUUAUGCAUGUAUAGCCUCAUUCCUCUAUAGUUUGUACGUGACCAGAACAUGUCUAGGUUUUGAUGUGAGGGGAAAACAUGUUGGACCGUGGUUGGUUUUGUACCCAUAUCUCUCAGAAUUUGUCAUGUGCGCUACAAGUGAUUCUUUAGCGAAAUAAGUUGACAUUAGGAGCAUGGAGAGAUUGGGGGGGGGGGGGGGGGGGCAUAGUCGGUGAUGUUUAUGUAGUGGUGGUGAUAUUUUGGUGCAUAUUUAGAUGAGUUUGUUACAAUUGCCUGUAUAUGAAAUUAUUAUAGACAUUAUUACUUGUAGUUGUAUGUAUUGGUUGUCUUAGUUGUAUGUAUUGGUUGUAUAUAUUACUUGUAGUUGUAUGUAUUGGUUGUCUUAGCCUGUUCUAGACUGGAUCUUACAGCCAUACAUGAAAUAUUAGAAGAUAUUGGAUACAAGGAUGACGAGGGGAUUGCAAAUGAGGUAGGCUCCUCUACCUUUUGUCAUUUAUUUUCAUCUUUAUUGUUUGGUGGGUAUUUGGGUGUAAAUGCAGGAUAUGAAACAAAACACCAAUUAUAUGUGUCUAUAUAAGUAUAUAACUAUUAUAACAUGCUAUCUGCUGAGUGUAUUUUGUCUCUAUAUUUGGUGAAACUCCAAAGCAGGGUUUAGUGGGUUAAUUUCCCUUUUUGGAAAGUUCUUUUUUUUUAGGGUCCUAUAUACUUAGUACAUAAAUAAUUUACUAUGUUUGUUAAAGGUUUUUAGCUAAGAAACUCCACUAUUUGAAUAUUUCGUCUUACAGUUGUAAUUUUUUUCCUGGAACAUUGCAUUCAAGAAUGUUAGUCGACACAAAACAUUUUGGGACUAAGGCUUUGUUGUUGUUGUUGUUGUUGUUGUUGUUGUUGUUGUUGUACGAGGGUAGUGUGAGAAAACUGAACUUACUAACUUUAGAAAGUGGCCUAUAAUUUUGUGACAAACUGCAAAUAUGGCCCAUUUUCUUGGGACGGAGUGAGAUAUUUGGCUGUUCAAUUCAUUGAUCUGCCAAUCUUCAUCCAGAAAUAACAGACACUCAACCACUAGGCUAUGACUUAUGAGACCUUCAAAAGCUGGGUGUAAUCAUAUACUUCCUGAUUUGCUGUUUUUUCAGAUUUCCACAUGUCUUAGAAAAUGGAUGCACCAUAAUCAAUUUAGAUAAUAGAGCAGAUUGGGUCCUGCAUUGCUCAUUAUUGCAACAAAAUUACCAUUAUAAUAUUGUCUGAAUUGAUGAGAUUGGCUCCUGCUUAGCUUAUAUUGUUGCUAUAGUCAGCUGUUAGUAUAUAAAAUGACCAACUUUUGUUGUUUCGGUUGUGGUUCAUCUGUUUUUCAGUGACUGGAAAACGGUUUUGGUUUUCCCAAGCAGUUAGAAAUUUAUCAAUCUUAUCUUUUAUACAGGAAUUAUAAAAAAGCUUGCCAAAAGUUGUAAACCAAACUAGGACUUCACAAUCGCCAUGUGCUGCAAACCAAGUGCAAGUCCGCGUUCUUAACAACAUAAGAAAAGACACUAUAAAAACCAAGUGAUAAAUUACUGUUGUUGCAUGGAUAAAGUGUGAAUUUUAUGUUUGUAAGUUUGCUUUGUGUCACAUCUUUUGUUCUGCAGUGCUCAACUAUUUGAUGCUCAUAUAAAAAAUAAACGAGCCUUAAAUGUACAUAAUUUGGCCAAAAUAGGUGAUAAUGAGUCUUUGAAACAUAAAACUAAGUGUAUUAAGCAUAUAAAGCGUUUUAAAUACUUAUUUAAGUUCAUUAGUUUAAAGUGGAGACCAAAAUAAACCAUUUUAGUCAAAAUGUGGCCUAUAAUGAUUAAACGAGCCUUAAAUGUAUAUAACUUGACCAAAGUAGGUGAGAAUGAGUAUUUGAACUUAAAACUAAGUAUAUUUGACAUGUAAAAGGUUUAAAAUACUUAUUUAAGUUCAUUAGUUGAAAGUUAGGACCGAAAUAAACCAUUUAAGUCAAAACGUGACCUAUAAUGAUCAAACGAGCCUUAAAUGUGUAUAACUUGACCCAAGUAGGUGAUAAUGAAUCUUAGAAACGUUAAAAUAAGUCUAAUAAACAUGUAAAGGGUUUAAAAUGCUUAUUUAGAUUCAUUAGUUCAAAAUUGGGAGCGAAAUAAGCCAUUUUAGUCAAAUACGACCUAUAAUAAACAAACUAGCCUUAAAUCUGCAUAACUUGUCCAAAGUAGGUGAGAUUGAGGCUUAGAAACAUUAAAAUAAAUCUAAUAAACAUGUAAAGGGUUUUUAAUAGUUAUUUAGGUUCAUUAGUUCAAAGUUGGGACUAAAAUAAGCCAUUUUAGUCAAAAUAUGGCCUAUAAAUAUCAAAUGAGCCUUAAAUGUGUAUAACUUGACCAAAGUAGUUGAGAAUGAGUAUUUUAAAGUUAAAACUAAGUAUAUUUGACAUGUAAAAGGUUUAAAAUACUUAUUUAAGUUCAUUAGUUAAAAGUUAGGACCAAAAUAAGCCAUUUUAGUCAAAAUGUGACCUAUAAUGAUCAAACGAGCCGUAAAUGUGUAUAACUUAACCAAAGUAGGUGAGAAUAAGUUUUUGAAACAUUAUAAUAAGUAUAAUGAACAUGUAAAUGGUUUCAAAUACUUAUUUAAGUUCAUUAGAUGAAAGUUAGGAGCGAAAUAAGCCAUUUUAGUCAAAAUUUUCUAUAAUGAACAAACGAGCCUUAAAUGUGCAUAACAUGACCAAAGUAGGUGAGAUUGUGAGAAUGAGUGUUUGAAACAUAAAACUAAGUAUAUUAAACAUCCAAAAGGUUUAAAAUACUUAUUUAGGUUCAUUGGUUGAAAGUUAGGAGAGAAAUAAGCCAUUUUUAUUAUUAUAAGGUUCAUUAUUUCAUUGUUGUGAGCAAAUUAUGUCUUACUUUAAUGUGCCAUACAAUAUAUAUAAUAUACCUAACAUAUUUUUUUUUCUCGAUGAUCAAUCUUCUUUAGGUAUUCAACAAUCCGAGGGAGCAGCCUUUUACCAUGGAGUAGAUACAUGAAGUUCGAGAAAAGUUGGCAAAGUUCAUUACAUUUAUUGUCUUUGAUAUUUUCUUGUAGUAAAUCUAGAUUAUGAAUGCUUGUUUUUCAUGGAUUGUAAUGUAAUCAAUUUUUAUAUUUAUAAUUAUAUACUAUUCAAUUUAAUUAUCAAUAUAA
Molecule: long non-coding RNA, 4249 nt
Organism: Spinacia oleracea (spinach)
Lineage: Eukaryota; Viridiplantae; Streptophyta; Magnoliopsida; Caryophyllales; Amaranthaceae
Exons: 2
Source: RefSeq, a predicted model, not a curated record